This 253-nucleotide ribosomal RNA is filed under the name uncultured bacterium. RNAcentral describes it as "partial 16S ribosomal RNA". It matches the Rfam family "Bacterial small subunit ribosomal RNA", at positions 524 to 776 of the family's 1533-position model. The record is from RNAcentral.
UACGUAGGGUGCAAGCGUUAAUCGGAAUUACUGGGCGUAAAGCGUGCGCAGGCGGUUCGCUAAGACCGAUGUGAAAUCCCCGGGCUUAACCUGGGAACUGCGUUGGUGACUGGCGGGCUAGAGUAUGGCAGAGGGGGGUAGAAUUCCACGUGUAGCAGUGAAAUGCGUAGAGAUGUGGAGGAAUACCGAUGGCGAAGGCAGCCCCCUGGGCCAAUACUGACGCUCAUGCACGAAAGCGUGGGGAGCAAACAGG